RNAcentral lists this ribosomal RNA (253 nucleotides) under uncultured bacterium. RNAcentral's name for it is "partial 16S ribosomal RNA". It matches the Rfam family "Bacterial small subunit ribosomal RNA", at positions 524 to 776 of the family's 1533-position model. The record is from RNAcentral.
GACAGAGGGUGCAAACGUUGCUCGGAAUCACUGGGCGUAAAGGGCGCGUAGGCGGCCCGGCAAGUCAACGGUGAAAGCUUGGGGCUCAACCCCGAGUCGGCCGUCGAUACUUCCGGGCUGGAGCACUGUAGAGGCAGGUGGAAUUCCGGGUGUAGCGGUGGAAUGCGUAGAGAUCCGGAAGAACACCGGUGGCGAAGGCGGCCUGCUGGGCCGACACUGACACUGAGAGACGAAAGCUAGGGGAGCGAAUGGG